GCGGAUGUGGCGGAACUGGCAGACGCGCAGGAUUUAGGUUCCUGUGUCCUAGUGGCGUGCAGGUUCGAUUCCUGUCAUCCGCA
RNAcentral lists this transfer RNA (83 nucleotides) under Weissella soli. It matches the Rfam family "tRNA". From Rfam's summary of the family: Transfer RNA (tRNA) molecules are approximately 80 nucleotides in length. Lineage: Bacteria; Bacillati; Bacillota; Bacilli; Lactobacillales; Lactobacillaceae. The record is from Rfam by way of RNAcentral.